This 467-nucleotide ribosomal RNA is filed under the name uncultured bacterium. RNAcentral's name for it is "partial 16S ribosomal RNA". It matches the Rfam family "Bacterial small subunit ribosomal RNA", at positions 28 to 507 of the family's 1533-position model. The record is from RNAcentral.
GACGAACGCUGGCGGCGUGCUUAACACAUGCAAGUCGAACGGAAAGGCCCUGCUUUUGUGGGGUGCUCGAGUGGCGAACGGGUGAGUAACACGUGAGUAACCUGCCCUUGACUUUGGGAUAACUUCAGGAAACUGGGGCUAAUACCGGAUAGGAGCUCCUGCUGCAUGGUGGGGGUUGGAAAGUUUCGGCGGUUGGGGAUGGACUCGCGGCUUAUCAGCUUGUUGGUGGGGUAGUGGCUUACCAAGGCUUUGACGGGUAGCCGGCCUGAGAGGGUGACCGGCCACAUUGGGACUGAGAUACGGCCCAGACUCCUACGGGAGGCAGCAGUGGGGAAUAUUGCACAAUGGGCGGAAGCCUGAUGCAGCAACGCGGCUUGCGGGAUGACGGCCUUCGGGUUGUAAACCGCUUUCGCCUGUGACGAAGCGUGAGUGACGGUAUGGGUAAAGAAGCACCGGCUAACUACGUG